GAUGAACGCUGGCGGCGUGCAUAACACAUUCAAGUCGAACGGAACUCAAUCGAUUAAUCCUUCGGGAAGCGUCGAGCGAGUUUAGUGGCGGACGGGUGAGUAACGCGUGAGCAACCUGCCUCUGUAAGUGGAAUAACGUCUGGAAACGGACGCUAAUACCGCAUAACACAUAUUGACCGCAUGAUCGAUAUGUCAAAGAUUUUAUCGUACAGAGAUGGGCUCGCGUCCCAUUAGGUAGUUGGUGAGGUAACGGCCCACCAAGCCGACGAUGGGUAGCCGGACUGAGAGGUUGAACGGCCACAUUGGAACUGAGAUACGGUCCAGACUCCUACGGGAGGCAGCAGUGGGGAAUAUUGGGCAAUGGGCGCAAGCCUGACCCAGCGACGCCGCGUGAGGGAAGAAGAUCUUCGGAUUGUAAACCUUUGUUAACAGGGACGAAAAAAAUGACGGUACCUGAAUAGAAAGCCACGGCUAACUAACGUG
RNAcentral lists this ribosomal RNA (483 nucleotides) under uncultured bacterium. Its description in RNAcentral is "bacterial SSU rRNA". It matches the Rfam family "Bacterial small subunit ribosomal RNA", at positions 28 to 507 of the family's 1533-position model. The record is from RNAcentral.